CAGUAGCCACGGGAAUACGUAGGGGGCAAGCGUUGUCCGGAAUUACUGGGUGUAAAGGGAGCGUAGACGGUUAAACAAGCCUGAAGUGAAAUGCCGGGGCUCAACCCCGGAGCUGCUUUGGGAACUGUAGAACUGGAGUGUCGGAGGGGUAAGCGGAAUUCCCAGUGUAGCGGUGAAAUGCGUAGAUAUGCGGAGGAACACCGAUGGCGAAGGCAAUCCCCUGGACCUGUACUGACGCUCAUGCACGAAAGCGUGGGGAGCAAACAGGAUUAGAUACCCCUGUAGUCCCUGUCUCUUAUAA
RNAcentral lists this ribosomal RNA (301 nucleotides) under uncultured bacterium. Its description in RNAcentral is "partial 16S ribosomal RNA". It matches the Rfam family "Bacterial small subunit ribosomal RNA", at positions 509 to 809 of the family's 1533-position model. The record is from RNAcentral.